This is a long non-coding RNA of Leopardus geoffroyi (Geoffroy's cat), 145 nucleotides long. RefSeq lists it as uncharacterized. Lineage: Eukaryota; Metazoa; Chordata; Mammalia; Carnivora; Felidae. The record is from RefSeq and is a predicted model, not a curated record. The transcript has 4 exons.
ACCAAUACCAUAGUGUCUUGAUCACUACAGCUUUGCAGUAUAACUUGACAUCUGGAAUUGUGAUGUCUCCGGCUUUUCUUUUCAUUUUCAAGAUUCUUUUUGCUAUUCCAGGUCUUUUCUGGUUCUGUACACACUUUAGGAUGGU